UCAUAAGUGCAAUUACAGGUAUGAUCAUUUAGAUCAUUUACACCUUACAUCUUACUGUGAAGGAUAUUUUGAGGGAUUGUUUUCUCAUCCCCUUUCUUUUAUAUAGGCCCUUCCAAUCACAUGAUGCGAGCGCGGAUUACACGAACUCGUGAGUGGGUCAGCUGUGUCAGAGAUCAAGUGAGAGAUCUUAUUAUUCCUCUUGAAAGUACCUCAAAAACUCAUGUCUUGUCUAGCUAGGUUCUCUAAAGAUAGCCCUGUUCCUAUUUAUCAGUAGAGAUAGGAGUGGACCGUCCGAUGGCAGCUUGUUUGAGAGAGCAAGUUCAACCCGGCCUUGGACCCAAGUUGGAGAGAGGAGCUCAUAGUCAUACGGAAACAACAACAACAGAUUUUGAUACAGAAGAUGGCAGAGCGGACUGCACACAUGGACCUGAACUUCUUGACCACAGCAUGAACUUGAUGAAGUAGUGGUGGAAGAAUUCACAUGGUAUAACCUCCUUGGGCAGCAGGGGUAGGCAGCAGUCAGUUAGUCUUCACACUGCUCUUCCAUGCGGCUGAGCUGCUCUGUCCAGUGGGUCAACCCCGGCCCUGUGAGACUGCACACCUUCAUGUCCCUCCUAACACACUCCAUCUAAUAAGUUUUUCUCGGUCUACCACGACCCCUGUUGCCUGACGCUUUCAGUUUGGUGAUGGUGUUACUAGUGAUGCAGUCACUUGAUCUUUCUACGUGUCCA
Long non-coding RNA from Branchiostoma floridae (Florida lancelet), 731 nucleotides. RefSeq lists it as uncharacterized. NCBI's taxonomy places the organism in Eukaryota, Metazoa, Chordata, Leptocardii, Amphioxiformes, Branchiostomatidae. The record is from RefSeq and is a predicted model, not a curated record. The transcript is spliced from 3 exons.